This is a long non-coding RNA of Gallus gallus (chicken), 445 nucleotides long. NCBI's taxonomy places the organism in Eukaryota, Metazoa, Chordata, Aves, Galliformes, Phasianidae. The record is from Ensembl.
GCUGCGGAGGCGCCGCGGCCGCCCGUGGCGUGCCGCUCUCCUUCGGGCGCCGUCGUUCCCGUUCGGCUCUGGGAGCCGGGCGAGCCCGCGUCAGACCGCGGGAGAACGGUCUUCGCAUCUUCAGAGCCCUGGGGCUCAGCCCAGCCAGGAGCUUCCCCGCCGCUUUCAGCCAGCGCGGCUCCCUCGGCCCUUACCCACCCGCCGCGAAUCCGACCGUGCUCGGCGGAGCGCCGGUCUGAGGCGCGUUCCGAUCGCGCGCGCUCCGCUGCGAUCAGGAAUUCGGAUGUAUCCAUCUGUCUGAGCACGACAAAGAGCCUGUCCCUGCAACAACUGCACCUGAGGAAUUUGAGGAGGAAGCCUAGCACAUCCUGCUGCAAUUUUAAACAGAUUUCUACUACCAUGGCUGAUCAAGUCAUACGGCGGCAUAGUGCUGUAGUUUAUGGAG